This 360-nucleotide ribosomal RNA is filed under the name uncultured bacterium. Its description in RNAcentral is "bacterial SSU rRNA". It matches the Rfam family "Bacterial small subunit ribosomal RNA", at positions 29 to 418 of the family's 1533-position model. The record is from RNAcentral.
AACGAACGCUGGCGGCAGGCCUAACACAUGCAAGUCGAACGCUCCGCAAGGGGAGUGGCGCACGGGUGAGUAACACGUGGGAACCUACCUUCUGGUACGGAACAACCAAGGGAAACUUUGGCUAAGACCGUAUACGACCUCCGGGUGAAAGAUUGAUCGCCGGAAGAGGGGCCCGCGUCCGAUUAGGUAGUUGGUGAGGUAACGGCUCACCAAGCCUUCGAUCGGUAGCUGGUCUGAGAGGAUGACCAGCCACACUGGGACUGAGACACGGCCCAGACUCCUACGGGAGGCAGCAGUGGGGAAUAUUGGACAAUGGGCGCAAGCCUGAUCCAGCCAUGCCGCGCGAGUGAUGAAGGCCUU